AUCAGGGCCAUAGCUCAGGAGGGGAGCAUCUGCUUUGCAUGCAGAAGUUCCCAGGUUCAAUCCCUGGUCUCUCUAGAUA
Non-coding RNA from Podarcis lilfordi (Lilford's wall lizard), 79 nucleotides. The record is from the annotation of a GenBank genome assembly. NCBI's taxonomy places the organism in Eukaryota, Metazoa, Chordata, Lepidosauria, Squamata, Lacertidae.